Chinchilla lanigera (long-tailed chinchilla) is the source of this 646-nucleotide long non-coding RNA. RefSeq lists it as uncharacterized. The record is from RefSeq and is a predicted model, not a curated record. Lineage: Eukaryota; Metazoa; Chordata; Mammalia; Rodentia; Chinchillidae. The transcript is spliced from 3 exons.
CUGUGUUAGAGUGUUUUGUUCUUGUUAUUUUCCCUGACUUUCUGACAAUCUUUGAUACAGAGAUUCAUAAAAAGAUACACCCAAAUAUUCUCAGAAGUAUAGUUCAAAGUCCACUUUGAAACUAUAUAUCUGAGUAAAUAAGCCAGCUGAUGAAGUGGAAACCUAGGUUUGGAUUCUGUGAAGAGAAGAGAAGGAACCUGCUAGAGCCGCUGGAAAGUGUUAUGAGUAGGUGAAGUUGGAUAUGGCCACAGAACUGGUCAAGACUACUGCCGAAAGCAAGAGUCCAGGUGGAAAAUGGAGGCAAGAAUAGCUGCACGUCUGAGAAAGUCACAGCUAGGAAGGAGAUGAAACUGAGGUGCUGGGGAGAAUGGAAGAAGGAGGAGUAGAAGGACCGAAAAUACUUUAAAGAAUCUAGAAAGACAUCUCUUCUACCUGAGAUGGGAGUUAUGUUUGAUUUCAUUUUUUCAUGUCUCUAAAUUAUGUUUCCUCUUCAAAUCAUGUAGAAUUGCACAUCAUAGAAUAAACUGUACAAAGUGACCAAUGAGAUAGUGACAUGAUAUAGGAGUACAUUAUUACCAUGCAAUUCACAUCUGGAAUCAUCUCGGUGCAAUUUGCAUGAUCUAUGUCACCUAGCCAUGGGUCAUAA